Molecule: ribosomal RNA, 207 nt
Filed under: uncultured bacterium
Lineage: Bacteria
Description: partial 16S ribosomal RNA
Rfam family: Bacterial small subunit ribosomal RNA
Source: RNAcentral
CAGGCAGGCGGUCUUGUGUGUCCUCUGUGAAAGCCCUCGGCUCAACCGAGGAAUUGCAGGGGAAACUGCGAGACUUGAGUCCGGGAGAGGCUAGUGGAAUUCCCAGUGUAGCGGUGAAAUGCGUAGAUAUUGGGAGGAACACCAGUGGCGAAGGCGGCUAGCUGGACCGGUACUGACGCUAAACUGCGAAAGCCAGGGGAGCGAACG